GGUUGAUCCUGCCAGUAGUCAUAUGCUUGUCCUAAAGAUUAAGCCAUGCAUGUCCAAGUAUAAGCGAUUGUACGGUGAAACUGCGAAAGGCUCAUUAAAUCAGUGAUAGUUUACAUGAUGAAGACGAUUACAUGGAUAACCGUGGUAAUUCUAGAGCUAAUACAUGCGCUGGGGGGUGGCGAGAGCGGCCUCUGCAUUUAUUAGAUAAAACCGACGCAGAGGGUGUAAAAACCAGCUGAACUGGCGAGUCAUGAUAACUGAGCGGAUCGUAUGGCCUCGAGCUGACGACGCA
RNAcentral lists this ribosomal RNA (292 nucleotides) under uncultured eukaryote. RNAcentral's name for it is "partial 18S ribosomal RNA". It matches the Rfam family "Eukaryotic small subunit ribosomal RNA", at positions 6 to 294 of the family's 1831-position model. The record is from RNAcentral.